Non-coding RNA from Cedecea davisae DSM 4568, 114 nucleotides. NCBI's taxonomy places the organism in Bacteria, Pseudomonadati, Pseudomonadota, Gammaproteobacteria, Enterobacterales, Enterobacteriaceae. The record is from Rfam.
UUGCAUCUGAAGUUAAAGAGGAUGAGAACCUCCGAAGGAGGUUUGAGCCGAGCGUAGCGAGACAACGUUGCUUCAGCAACGGCCCGCAGGGGAAUAAUCCUCUCUCGCCGACCA